UGUAGAAAGAAAGAGAGGGAGAGGAAGAAUUCUCAAGAAGAAAAAGAAGAAAAAAAUAAGUUUUGUGCUUUGGAAAAGGAAGGCUUAAGCUUACAUUUAGGCUCAAGGACGUCGUUAGAGCCCGACAAAUCUUAAAGAAAGAGUUAGCUAGCUUGGAAGUAAGGACUUUCGACUUCCUCUGGAGCAAAACAUAAUCAAAUGGACGAAUUUUGGAGUAAUUCCAAUUGGAGGACGUUCGUGAGUCACUUAGCUUGAUCGUAUCAAAAUUUCGGAUUUUUUGUACCAGCCAUCUUGAUUAACUUUGACGCAUUGUCACUA
Prunus avium (sweet cherry) is the source of this 318-nucleotide non-coding RNA. The record is from RefSeq and is a predicted model, not a curated record. NCBI's taxonomy places the organism in Eukaryota, Viridiplantae, Streptophyta, Magnoliopsida, Rosales, Rosaceae.